GAUUAAGAACGUAGCGAAAUGCGAUACGUAAUGUGAAUUGCAGAAUUCAGUGAAUCAUCGAAUCUUUGAACGCAUAUUGCGCUCUUUGGUAUUCCGAAGAGCAUGCUUGUUUGAGUAUCAGUAAACACCUCAACCUCUUCUUGAUUUUUCAAAAGGAGGGUGGACUUGAGCUAUCCCAACAACCUUUACCGGUCGGCGGGCGGCUUGAAAUGCAAGUGCAGCUGGACUUUUAUCUGAGCUAAAAGCAUAUCUAUUUAGUCCUCGUCAAACAGGAUUAUUACUUUUGCUGCAGCUAACAUAAAGGAUAAUUGUCCUCUUUGCUGACUGAUGCAGGAUUUUACGACACUUUAUGUGUUGUUCAACUCGAUCUCAAAUCAAGUAAGACUACCCGCUGAACUUAAGCAUAUCAAUAAGCGGAGGA
Molecule: unclassified non-coding RNA, 421 nt
Filed under: soil metagenome
Description: partial contains 5.8S ribosomal RNA, internal transcribed spacer 2, and large subunit ribosomal RNA
Rfam family: 5.8S ribosomal RNA (bases 1-120)
Source: RNAcentral